AUAGAUUUUGAGGUUGAGUAACAGGGCGGAGCUUUAAGAGCAAAGCGAGCCACGCUAGCAUAGCAACAUUUUUCAGCAGCAGGCUACGGUCCAACGACCCCCUAACGAAAACUCCAAAAUCCAAAACGUUGGUUUUUCUUCCUCUCCUUUCAGUCGAGUGACUUCGUACCUCUCCUUUUAGGCGAGCUACUUCGUUCCAAACCUUUCUCUAAUAAUAAGGUAAGCUUGAAAGCCGCCGCCCUUUAAAUUUAAAGGAGCGGGCGCAGUGAACUGUAAUUGUGCAAAUAUUGGAAGAUAUGGCCAAAGAAGGUGAUAGCCCUGUAGAUUUAUUUCCAUGGUUCGAUCUUUCCAAGUAAAAUGUAGUGUGUUCGAAUUCUGAUCUCUUUUACACAAGAAAGGGGGACCACCCUCUAAGCCUAAGUAUUCCUCAAUGACCGAUAGCGUACAAGUACCGUGAGGGAAAGGUGAAAAGAACCCUAUUUAGGGAGUGCAAUAGAGAAGAUGAGAUCCAAUGCAAAAAAUCAGUCGAAGGAGCGGAUCUUAGAAACAUUACUCUAUGUAAAGCGCACUCACUCAAUGGCGUACCUUUUGCAUGAUGGGUCAGCGAGGAAAUGGGAACAGCGGCUUAAGCCAUUAGGUGUAGGCGCUUUCCAGAGGUGGAAUCUUCUAGUUCUUCCUAUUUGACCCGAAACCGAUCGAUCUAGCCAUGAGCAGGUUGAAGAGAGCUCUAACAGGCCUUGGAGGACUGAACCCACGUAUGUUGCAAAAUAUGGGGAUUACUUGUGCCUAGUGGUGAAAGAUCAACCAAGAUCGGAUAUAGCUGGUUUUCCAUGAAAUCUAUUUCAGUGGAGCGUAUGAUGUCGAUGCCCCAAGUUAGUGCACUCAAUGGGCUAGGAUGGCCUCAUUUCGCCUUACCAACCAUAGGGAAACUCUGAAUAUAGGCCUAGAUUGUUUGUACCGACAAACUUUUUGGUUCUAAGAUCCAAAGUCGAGAGAGAAAUAGCCCAUAUAGUACAUUAAGCGCCCUAAGCAAUCACUUAGUGGAAAAGGAAGUGACCGACCAAUGACAACCAGGAGGUGGGCUUUGAAGCAGUAUUCUUUUGAAGAAAGCGUAAUAGCGCACUAGUCUAACUCCAUGGCACCAAAAAUGUAUCAGGGAUCAUACGAUUCACCAAAGCGAUGAGACCUUGUAAGCUGCUUUUUCAAGUGUCACUAGCGGAACGUUCUGUCAAUUAGGGAAGAUUUUUUGUGAUAAGACCUAGAGAUAUCAGAAGUGAGAAUGUUGACAUGAGUAACAAAAAAUCCUAUGAAAAACACAAUCGCCUGCCAGUGGAAUGUUUUCUGUAUUAGGUCAAUAUAUGCAGAGUGAGUCGGUCCCUUAGGAACCACCGAAGGAAUGCCGCCGUAUGGGUACACGAAAGUGAUAAAGUUGCUUUUACUACAGAACCAUGUCUGUGUGUUGGAGAGAAUUGGAUGAUCGUGCCGAGGGAUGCCCCUAUUCCCCUAACUCUUCUUUCCCUAAUAUGAACCUUGGGUCAUCAAAACCUUUCUGAGUCGGCCUGGCUCAGUUGCCCUACGUAACAGGCGCUUCAAAAGGCGAAACUCUCGGUCUUAGUUUGGCGACCUAUCUUCUGUAGGGGCCUUUAGUCUUUUGAUUAUAGUAGGGGUUACGAGAGAGAAGAGUGUACCCCGGCCAUAAUCAUGAGUAUGUUUAUAGUUGUGACUGUUGUCAUAUUGAAAAAGGUAGAAACUUCCAGGAGAAAACUUUGAAUUGAGAGGGUGAUCCUCCUUGUGAACUGACCAUACCCCAACCGAGAUGGGUGAAUAAGUAGAUUAUACUAGGGCACUUGACAGAACCAUGUCGAAGGAACUCGACAAAAUUACCCCGUCACUCUGAGAGAAGGGGUGCUAUCCUAUCUUUUGAUUAUUAAAGCGGCACAUACCAGGGGGUAGCGAUUGUUUAUUAAAAACACAGGACUCUGAUAUGUGGUAACACGAUUUAUAGAGUGUGACACCUGCACAGUGCUAGAAGGAAGAAAGGAGAAGUGUUUUAUGAUUUGAAUAGAAGCCCCCGUAAACGACGGCAGUAACUCUAACUAACCUAAGGUAGCAAAAUUCCUUGUCACAUAAGUAGCGACCUGCACGAAUGGUGUAACGACUGCCCCUUUGUCUCCGAUAAGGACACAGUGAAAUUGAAUUCUCCAUGAAGAUGCGUAGUACCAACGGCUAUAUGGUAAGACCCCGUGAACCUUAACUAUAGCUUCACUUUGACAACCUUAAUCAAAUGUGUAGGAUAGGUGGGAGGUGGUGAAACAUAACGACCGAUCCUCAAAGACAACUCUUUCAUCUCAGGAUGCCUAAUCGCCGCACCGAUCAUUCUGGGGGAGGCGAGACACUACGAGGUGGGUAGUUUAUAUGGGGCGGAUGCCUCUUAUAGAGUAUCGGAGGUGUGCGAAGGUAGGCUCAAGCUAAGAUUCUGCUCCUGAGUGUAAUUUUAUAGGACUGCCUGACUGUGAGACCGAUUGCCUGGCUAUGAGACCGACUGGGCAACAGAGACGAAAGUCGGCCAUAGUGAUUCUGGAGCCCCGUUGUGGAAGGGAUCUCGCUCAACGGAUCAAAGGUAUGCCCAAGAUAACAGGAUGAUUACUCCCAAGAGAUCUUAUCGAUGAAGUCUUUUGGCUCCUCCAUGUAGACUCAUCACAUCCUGGGGUUGAAGAAGGUCCCAAGUAUUCGAUUGUUCGCCAAUUCAAGUGGUAUGGGAGUUGGGUUUACAACGUCAUGAGAGAGUUCGGUUCCUAUCUACCGUUGGUGUUAAAGGGAGAACUGCGAGGAGCCAACCCUAGUACGAGAGGACUGGGUUGGGCUAACCUAUGGUGUACCGGUUGUUAUGCCAAUAGCAGCGCCGGGCAGCUAAGUUGGUAUAGAAGAUUUGUUGCACCGUGGGAAAUCCUUUUCUAUACAAGUUCUAGGAUGAGGUUUAUUAACAGAACUUUGAAAGGCGAGAGGUGUAAGCACUGCGAGGUGUGAAGAAAUCUCGUAUUAAACCAAAUGACUUUCAAUU
RNAcentral lists this ribosomal RNA (3061 nucleotides) under Solanum arcanum. RNAcentral describes it as "bacterial LSU rRNA". It matches the Rfam family "Bacterial large subunit ribosomal RNA". Lineage: Eukaryota; Viridiplantae; Streptophyta; Magnoliopsida; Solanales; Solanaceae. The record is from RNAcentral.